Molecule: ribosomal RNA, 433 nt
Filed under: uncultured bacterium
Lineage: Bacteria
Description: partial 16S ribosomal RNA
Rfam family: Bacterial small subunit ribosomal RNA
Source: RNAcentral
AGCGAACGCUGGCGGCAGGCCUAACACAUGCAAGUCGAACGAACUCUUCGGAGUUAGUGGCGGACGGGUGAGUAACACGUGGGAACGUGCCUUUAGGUUCGGAAUAACUCAGGGAAACUUGUGCUAAUACCGAAUGUGCCCUUCGGGGGAAAGAUUUAUCGCCUUUAGAGCGGCCCGCGUCUGAUUAGCUAGUUGGUGAGGUAAAGGCUCACCGAGGCGACGAUCAGUAGCUGGUCUGAGAGGAUGAUCAGCCACAUUGGGACUGAGACACGGCCCAAACUCCUGCGGGAGGCAGCAGUGGGGAAUCUUGCGCAAUGGGCGAAAGCCUGACGCAGCCAUGCCGCGUGAAUGAUGAAGGUCUUAGGAUUGUAAAAUUCUUUCACCGGGGACGAUAAUGACGGUACCCGGAGAAGAAGCCCCGGCUAACUUCGUG